RNAcentral lists this long non-coding RNA (582 nucleotides) under Gallus gallus (chicken). RNAcentral describes it as "long non-coding RNA NONGGAT003843". Lineage: Eukaryota; Metazoa; Chordata; Aves; Galliformes; Phasianidae. The record is from RNAcentral.
AGCAGCAUGUGAGUGAAACUAUGUGGUAAAGAAGGGACAGCCCACGACCUCGAUUGACACAGCUCUUCCAAAUCAUCUUUCUGUUCUGCUUUCUGUGUCCUACGCUGCUCUCAAGAGUAACAUCGGGUGCUCCUUCUCUCUCUCACUUGGCAGCAUUUGAAGGAGUUGACUUUUCCCCUGAGAAAACACUGCCCUAUUUGGGAUCUCUAGAGGAUGUAUCCAUACAGAUCUGAUCACUGAGGGUAUUUUUGUGUUUGACGCAGAUUUUCCAAGCAAGAGACAAAGUGUGCCAACAGAUGCGGUCCAUGUGCUCAGCUUCCCCUGGGCCCUGCCAGGGGCUGUUUGCAUGCUACAGGGGCACCAAGGGGAGGCCAAGGCAGUGCUCCUGCCUCAGUCCUCCUAGCAGCUGGCAGACCCAGAACCUGGGCUGAGGGACAGCAUGCUCCAAGUCUUCUUGGAAAUGUGGGCCAAACUGUGAGGGAGCCAUAUCCCUGGAUACAUCAACAGUACUGUUUUAUUACUCCUUCUGCUAAAAUGAGUGGCUGUCGGCAUUAUGCAAAUACCUCAGCGAUAAUUAGUAAC